RNAcentral lists this long non-coding RNA (284 nucleotides) under Homo sapiens (human). RNAcentral's name for it is "HSALNT0262163". The record is from RNAcentral. Lineage: Eukaryota; Metazoa; Chordata; Mammalia; Primates; Hominidae.
GAGGAGAGAGGUGUCCACUCUGCAGGAGACAGUGCCACCAGCUGCAGGGCUGAGAUAGUGGGUGUAGCAGGAUAGGACGGUGGGGUCCUGAUCAUCGAGGGUCAGGAGCUGGGGCUUGGCUUGUGAGCCAGUAUACUGUAGCGCAGCUUCCAUGGGGGGACCAGUGUGUAUGCCCAGGCUGUCCAGGAGGCAGUGUGCGCGCCCAGGCUGUCCAGGUCCAAGUCUUGGCAUUGUCCUUUCUGUGCCUUCAUCUGGGAAACGGCAAUAGUCACGAUUAUACCUAC